AGUUUAUUUGAAAGAGAAUUUGUAGAGCUGUAAAACAAGGAUGCCUUAAUACUGUGACCAAAAAAGUUCUCUAUGAGACAGUCACUCAAUAGUGUUUUGCUGAGGAGAUAGAAGA
This is a small nucleolar RNA of Ictidomys tridecemlineatus (thirteen-lined ground squirrel), 115 nucleotides long. NCBI's taxonomy places the organism in Eukaryota, Metazoa, Chordata, Mammalia, Rodentia, Sciuridae. The record is from Ensembl.